RNAcentral lists this transfer RNA (72 nucleotides) under Caerostris darwini. RNAcentral's name for it is "tRNA-Pro". It matches the Rfam family "tRNA". Rfam says of the family: Transfer RNA (tRNA) molecules are approximately 80 nucleotides in length. Their secondary structure includes four short double-helical elements and three loops (D, anti-codon, and T loops). Lineage: Eukaryota; Metazoa; Arthropoda; Arachnida; Araneae; Araneidae. The record is from RNAcentral.
GGUUCGGUGGUCUAGGGGUACGAUUCUCGCUUCGGGUUCGAGAGGUCCCGGGUUCAGAUCCCGGCCGAACCC